RNAcentral lists this ribosomal RNA (255 nucleotides) under uncultured bacterium. Its description in RNAcentral is "partial 16S ribosomal RNA". It matches the Rfam family "Bacterial small subunit ribosomal RNA", at positions 524 to 776 of the family's 1533-position model. The record is from RNAcentral.
GACAGAGGCCCCAAGCGUUUAGGCGGAAUCACUGGGCUUAAAGCGUGUGUAGGCGGACGCCUAAGUGUCUUGUGAAAUCCCACGGCUCACCCGUGGAACUGCUGGGCAUACGUGGGCGUCUUGGGCCAACUAGGGGCAUGUGGAACUUCCGGUGGAGCGGUGAAAUGCGUAGAUAUCGGAAGGAACGCCGGUGGCGAAAGCGACGUGCUGGACCUCUUCUGACGCUGAGGCGCGAAAGCCAGGGGAGCAAACGGG